UAGACAUAUACUCAACCAGUAAUGACCUAUGUUUUUUAAAUCAUAAUUGAGGACUAAAAUUAUUUCAGUGUAGAUAAGGGAAUGCCUGUUUAAAAUGAAAACAUGACAGCCAGACAAGCCAGUGUAUGAAUCAAAUGUAUUUGCAUAUGAAUGGAGUGGAAAUUAGCUCACUUUGUGAUCUGUAAGGUAAGUAACAUUAAUGUGUGUGUUGGGGCAUUGAAAUGAUAUUAUGUUUACACUGAUGCCUGUUUAUUCAUAAAAAGCAGAAGAUGAUAAAUAACAUUAAUCGGAAUGGUUAGCCUAUGCAAAUUAUUAGGAAUACAUUUAGCCUAAUUGGUAAUAAAUAUGACGUGGAGGCAAAUCAGGAUCCUAUUCAGGCUUUUGUUUGUCAAUUCCAGAUUAAAUAUAGGUCUUCACGUGUAUCAAAUCUGUAUGCAAUUGUGGGCUAAAUCAAUGACAAACAGCUUAUAUAUUCAUCAUGAUCUGUGAUCAAAACAGGCUGGGGUGUUUUCGGUUCCGUUUAGUGUAAGAAUAUGAGUAAGAACGCAACUGCACUGAAAUGAAUAGCCUGAUUCAAUGGAAUCUCCUGAAUAAUACAUGUUUUAAUUUGUUAAACUGUUUGGUCGAUGCAUAGACCCACACCAAUUCUAACUUUUUGGUAUUUUGCAUUAGGCAUAGCUCUACAUUGCAAAGCAUUUAAUAAACCAACCACAUUUUCCUGUGAUGUUUAGGCUGCGCAAGAACUUUGAUAGGCUAGUAGACUAUGCUGAAAUAAUUGUGGAGUUAAUCAUUGUUAUAGCCUUGUUCGCUUUAUAUAAUCUGGACUGUUGUUUUUCAUAAAGCUAAGCAAACAAGUGGUAGCAUAUGCUUUUUGCACAUAUCUAUAACAAGGCCUAUAUCCUCACAUACCCCCUCAAUUUGAACCCUGCUUUAAACCAUAAAACAUCUCCACAGAAAUGUAUAGAUGAAGGGUUGCAUGGUUGUGUCUGUUAAUCCGGUAAACUGGGAAGUGGGGGGGAAACGAGGUCAAAUCAUGACAUCAUUGAUUUUCAGGUCAGAGAUUCCGAGUUGGACGACUGUUCAAAACAAAACAAAAAUCCCAGUCUGACCUCGUUUUUUUCAGAGUUCCGGGUUGUCUUGAACGCACUGAAGUCAGAAGUCAGAGAUUUCUGACUUCUGAGUUAUUUUGAAUUCACCACUAGAGACCUAGGCUACCUCAACAAUUGAAAUGUGUCUCCCGCAUUUAACCCAACCCCUCUGAAUCAGAGCAUUGCGUGAGGCUGCCUUAAUCAAAAUACACGUAUUCAGUCGCCCAGAGAACCAGCGUUGGGAUUUGAUUUAGCAACCUUUCAGUUACUUGCCCAAUGCUCUAACCACUAGGCUACCAAGAAGCCCUUGAUUUUCUGCUGAUGGAAGAAAUAGGCAUAUCUACACAGUAAUGGUGCCUGCGAUAUCAACUAGCCUAAUAAUUUUUGUAUUGAGGAGAUAGGCCUAUUUUAGCUAAAUCAACAAAUGAAAUUGAUGAACUAAACAGACACUUAAACUAACACGUAACGCGUAACACAUGUAGGCAUUUUUAAGGAUUUCAUGGUAAGAUCAUUCAUAAUAUACUUAAAUACAAACUGACACGUGACGUGUCAGUGGCAUGUUACGUGACGUGAACACCACGUGAACACUACGUCUACAUGAUGUGUACAUGUCACAUGACGUGAACGCGUCGGCAGCUUGAUGCCUUAGAAACAAACUUGUCUCCAUUGACAGUCCAUGUUAAUUCAUGCCGUUAUUUUAUGACGCUAGGAAGACGUUAGGUGACUUGGUGAGAGGUAUCAGUAGCUUCACAAGGCUUAAUUCUGGCAUGAAUCACCCCCCAUAAGGAACCACUGUAGUCUGGGCUGGCAGCCUUGCAAGGGUUAACACGUUUAAAUGUCUUACUCACGUCAGCCCGAGAAGGGGGGCACAGUCCUUGGUGGCGGGCCGCGUUGGUGGCACUGUAUUAUCCUCAAAGCAGGCAAAGAACGUGUUUAGUUUGUCUGGAAGCAAGACGUUGGUGUUCGUGACGUGGUUGGUUUUCUUUUUGUAGUCCGUGAUUUCCUGUAGUCCCUGCCACAUCGGUCUUGUGUCUGAGCCGUUGAAUUGUCCCUAUACUGAAGUUUCACUUGUUUGAUUGCCUUGCGGGGGGAAUAACUACACUGUUUGUAUUCGGCCAUAUUCCCAGUCAUCUUUCCAUGCAUCUGAAACUUUACACAAUGCUGCACAGGGUGGGAGUUACCAUUUUUCUCACUCUAUACAGCAGAAAAAUCUAAAUGUGACAACAAACUGACAAUAUCACCCUGCAAAAAUAAUUCUCUGCUGUACUACUACUGUAAGAGACAUUGCCAAACAAACUGAGGAUACGAUUCCAUGUUUGCCGAUUCUGUCCUGGGCUGCCAAUCAUGAAUAACAAAGGGUUGAAACUAGAGACAGGAGUAGCAGUGGUCAUGUCAGUCUGUUGAUAUUAAAUAAAGCAUUACAGGUCAUGUCAAGAGCAUUGUGAUGAAGGAUUGCCAUAGGCUGAAUUGAGAGACUGGGCUAAAAAGUUUAGUCCCAAUGUAGAAGAUUUAUUUUCUUAAAAAUUCUAACUUAACAAAAAAUACUUGAGUCCUUUUAGCUCUUUGUAGAGCAAAGGCACAAAAAUAACAAAAGCAAUAUUUUCUCAAUCCUGACAAACAAUAUAGUACUGCUGACUAACAAAUGCAAUAUGUUCUCCAUCCUGACAAACAGUAUACUACUGCUGACUAACAAAAGCAAUAUGUUCUCCAUCCUGACAAACAGUAUACUACUGCUGACUAACAAAAGCAAUAUGUUCUCAAACCUGACAAUGUACUAAUGCUGACUAAAAAAAACACAAACACAUGUAGCUUACUGGGUUUAAACCAGUGAAGCAUGUUGAAAGAAUAACAAUUUUAACUUUACCUUUCCGUUUGACUUCAAAAUCAUCAUCAAAUCAAAGUUUAUUGGUCACGUACACAGAUUUGCAGGUGUUAUGGCAGGUGCAUGUAAAAUAUUGUGUUACUAGCUCCAACAGUGCAGUAGAAUGUCUCGCAAAUACAAUUCAAAUACACAAUCAUGAAAACAAUCCAAACAACAAAUCAAGAAAUAGCCAUCCUAGUAGAUCAUCAUCAUUCUAGUAGUAAGUUUAUUAGAACAGGGGAGUGUGGUAGUAAGUUUAUUAGAACAGGGGGUGUGGUAGUAAGUUUAUUAGAACAGGGGGUGUGGUAGUAAGUUUAUUAGAACAGGGGAGUGUGGUAGUAAGUUUAUUAAAACAGGGGGGUGUGGUAGUAAGUUUAUCAGUAGAGGGGGUGGGGUAGUAAGUUUAGCAGAACAGGGGGUGUGGUAGUAAGUUUAUCAGUAGAGGGGGUGGGGUAGUAAGUUUAGCAGAACAGGGGGUGUGGUAGUAAGUUUAUCAGUAGAGGGGGUGGGGUAGUAAGUUUAGCAGAACAGGGGGUGUGGUAGUAAGUGUAUCAGUAGAGGGGGGUGGGGUAGUAAGUUUAGCAGAACAGGGGGUGUAGUAGUAAGUUAAUCAGAACAAGGGGUGUGGUAGUAAGUUUAGCAGAACAGGGGGUGUGGUAGUAAGUUUAUCAGUAGAGGGGGGUGGGGUAGUAAGUUUAGCAGAACAGGGGGGUGUGGAAGUAAGUUUAUCAGUAGAGGGGGGUGGGGUAGUAAGUUUAGCAGAACAGGGGGGUGUGGUAGUAAGUUUAUCAGUAGAGGGGGGUGGGGUAGUAAGGCCAAUAGCAGUCCACCAUGUCUUUAGCCUCCUCGUAUGUGGUGAACUCACAGUCGGGGGAAAAUUGUGGCGUUCCUGGCUCACAGAAUCUCAGAUGGUGUCUCAAAUUGUACCUAUCGAAGGUCAACAUCUGAGAGGAACAGAAUUUUUCAUCAUCUUAAGUGAUAGCUAGACUUUUGAUUGCUGAUUGUAAAGUCUUGCUGCUUUGGCAACAUUGUUGUACCUUUAAAAGUUAUACCCACAAAGCAGUUGUCUUAAAAACCUGUCCUGGAGAGAUACAGGGUGUGCAGGGUUUUGUUCCAGGCACCAGUUACACACAGAUUACACUAAUAAAGGUCUUGAUAAUUAGUUGAUUAAUUGAAUCAGACGUGUUAGAGUUGGGCUAAAACUAAAUCCUUUACACCCUGUUAUUUUCCAGUACAAACAUUGUUGAUCCAAUCAAUAAAGUUGAUGUGAAAUCUGACCUGUGAACCGUCCAUGUGGAACGCUACAGCAAUGUUGUCCCAAACGUAGAACUGGUGUUUCUGUGGAUCAGGGAUCAGGUGGGCUACAUCCUGGUUCUGGUAGGGCUUUGGCACCAAUUUCAAGCUGUGGAAAGGAAGUAAAAGUCUGAGUCAAUUGUAAUUAAUGCAUCCCAUGCUAUAAUUGAGUGAUUUUUUUAUCUAUUAUUGCUAUAUUACAUC
RNAcentral lists this long non-coding RNA (4446 nucleotides) under Salmo salar (Atlantic salmon). Its description in RNAcentral is "lncRNA (ENSSSAG00000093566.1)". The record is from RNAcentral. Lineage: Eukaryota; Metazoa; Chordata; Actinopteri; Salmoniformes; Salmonidae.